GACAGAGGUGCCAAGCGUUAGGCGGAAUCACUGGGCUUAAAGCGUGUGUAGGCGGGUCGUUAAGUACCUUGUGAAAUCCCACGGCUCAACCGUGGAACGGCUGGGUAUACUGGCGAUCUUGAGCCACCUAGGGGCAGUCGGAACAAGUGGUGGAGCGGUGAAAUGCGUAGAUAUCACUUGGAACGCCAAUGGUGAAAACAGACUGCUGGGGGUGUGCUGACGCUGAGACACGAAAGCCAGGGGAGCAAACGGG
RNAcentral lists this ribosomal RNA (253 nucleotides) under uncultured bacterium. Its description in RNAcentral is "partial 16S ribosomal RNA". It matches the Rfam family "Bacterial small subunit ribosomal RNA", at positions 524 to 776 of the family's 1533-position model. The record is from RNAcentral.